RNAcentral lists this ribosomal RNA (427 nucleotides) under uncultured bacterium. RNAcentral describes it as "partial 16S ribosomal RNA". It matches the Rfam family "Bacterial small subunit ribosomal RNA", at positions 355 to 774 of the family's 1533-position model. The record is from RNAcentral.
UGGGGAAUAUUGCACAAUGGGCGCAAGCCUGAUGCAGCCAUGCCGCGUGUAUGAAGAAGGCCUUCGGGUUGUAAAGUACUUUCAGCGGGGAGGAAGGUGUUGUGGUUAAUAACCACAGCAAUUGACGUUACCCGCAGAAGAAGCACCGGCUAACUCCGUGCCAGCAGCCGCGGUAAUACGGAGGGUGCAAGCGUUAAUCGGAAUUACUGGGCGUAAAGCGCACGCAGGCGGUGUGUCAAGUCGGAUGUGAAAUCCCCGGGCUCAACCUGGGAACUGCAUCCGAAACUGGCAGGCUUGAGCCUUGUAGAGGGGGGUAGAAUUCCAGGUGUAGCGGUGAAAUGCGUAGAGAUCUGGAGGAAUACCGGUGGCGAAGGCGGCCCCCUGGACAAAGACUGACGCUCAGGUGCGAAAGCGUGGGGAGCAAACA